This 22-nucleotide microRNA is filed under the name Ornithorhynchus anatinus (platypus). Its description in RNAcentral is "oan-miR-1421b-3p". Lineage: Eukaryota; Metazoa; Chordata; Mammalia; Monotremata; Ornithorhynchidae. The record is from miRBase by way of RNAcentral.
CCGCGCAGCAUGUGACCUUCCU